ACGUUCCCACGAGUUAUGCGUUUUUUAUGAAAUAAACAUGAUAAAACUAGUAAACAGGUCAAACUACACAUUCUGAACGAUUGUACUUUUAAGCAGUGUAUUAAUAAAUUACAAAAGUAGCAUACUAGCUAAUGAAAAGUUUG
Cyprinus carpio (common carp) is the source of this 143-nucleotide long non-coding RNA. RefSeq lists it as uncharacterized. The transcript is spliced from 2 exons. The record is from RefSeq and is a predicted model, not a curated record. Lineage: Eukaryota; Metazoa; Chordata; Actinopteri; Cypriniformes; Cyprinidae.